GGGUGAGUAAUACAUCGGAACGUGUCUUCUAGUGGGGGAUAACUGCCCGAAAGGGCAGCUAAUACCGCAUGAGACCUGAGGGUGAAAGCGGGGGAUCGCAAGACCUCGCGCUGGAAGAGCGGCCGAUGUCCGAUUAGCUAGUUGGUGAGGUAAAGGCUCACCAAGGCGACGAUCGGUAGCUGGUCUGAGAGGACGACCAGCCACACUGGGACUGAGACACGGCCCAGACUCCUACGGGAGGCAGCAGUGGGGAAUUUUGGACAAUGGGGGCAACCCUGAUCCAGCCAUGCCGCGUGCAGGAUGAAGGUCUUCGGACUGUAAACUGCUUUUGUCAGGGACGAAAAGGGA
This 348-nucleotide ribosomal RNA is filed under the name uncultured bacterium. RNAcentral describes it as "bacterial SSU rRNA". It matches the Rfam family "Bacterial small subunit ribosomal RNA", at positions 104 to 455 of the family's 1533-position model. The record is from RNAcentral.